UACGGGGGCGCGAGCGUUGUUCGGAAUCACUGGGCGUAAAGCGCACGUAGGCGGCUUACUAAGUCAGAGGUGAAAGCCUGGAGCUCAACUCCAGAACUGCCUUUGAUACUGGUGAGCUUGAGUUCGGGAGAGGUGAGUGGAACUGCGAGUGUAGAGGUGAAAUUCGUAGAUAUUCGCAAGAACACCAGUGGCGAAGGCGGCUCACUGGCCCGAUACUGACGCUGAGGUGCGAAAGCGUGGGGAGCAAACAGG
RNAcentral lists this ribosomal RNA (252 nucleotides) under uncultured bacterium. Its description in RNAcentral is "partial 16S ribosomal RNA". It matches the Rfam family "Bacterial small subunit ribosomal RNA", at positions 524 to 776 of the family's 1533-position model. The record is from RNAcentral.